AUGUCGCUCCCCCCGACGCCCGCUCUCCGGCUGGGAGGUCCCAGCUCAGGUCCUUUCCUAGUUUUUAGCCCCCACCCCUCGAAGCUCGGGGCCGGGCGCGCAGCCGGCAGUUUUCCCCCUCUCCGCGUCUGCCGGGCAGGGAGCAGCAGCUCGGAGAUGCUCCCUACCUCCUCCUCCCCCGAGGCUCCGCGUCUCCGGGCCGCCCUUUCUCCCCUCCGGCCGCGUCUACCCAGCAGCGGGGGAAGAGGAGGUAAAGUUGGAGGGGUGUGUGUUGGGGGGAAAGCUGGACCCUCCCACACCUCCCCACCGCUGUCCGCCGCCUGCGAGGGGAAGGCACUGCCGCUGCGGCGGGGCUGGCGGUGUGCGACCACGCCGAAACGCCCGUUCCCUUUUCCUCUUAUCCUCCCCCUGCCCAGCCCGGCCUCCGCUUUCUCCUCCCAGACCUCGCCGGUUAACCCUCCCCGAUGCUCCGGGGGGGCGCCGGCUUGCCCCCCCUCUACCUCAGUGGGGCUCGUUCUCCCCCGCCUCCUCCUGCAGCACCACGCACAAAUCCGAGCAGCGCUGGCUGGGGGGCUGAGCCCCGACCCCUGCCCGGGACACCCGGUAGCGGAGCCCGUGGGAGGGCGCGGGGCCGCCGGGGGUGACACACGCACACGCGCUCGCACACGCACUUGCACACACGGAGAGCAGCGGGCGCUGCUCGCACGGAGCGGAACACCCCGAGGAGCUGCAGGUUGCUCCGCAUGCAGUCUGCGCCAGGUGAAAUCUCCCUCCUGGCAAGUUUUGCGCUUUUCUCCCUUGUCUUUCGGGAAGCACGUAGAGAGAUUUUCUUAUUUCCUCACUUUGACUUCCCCUGACUUCCUGAAACAAAGCGUUUUUACUGCAUUUUUGUCAAUGAAGGAGUCGCCCGCUCCUCCCCUGAGACCCGCAGCUCUCUGCCAGCCUGCAGCGAUCCGCGUGGCUCAGUGGUUCUUUAUUCUUCGGGUGCGUUCAUCUUUGGGAGGAUACAAAGUAGUGCACACGCAGCACACGAGUGGCAUUUCCCCCAGGAGUCCAGAUCUGACCUCGCUGGCCAGUCAUAACUCCUGGGGAUGGAGCAGCAGCCUCAUGCACGGUGAACCAAGGCAGAGAGAAGUGGAAAUCAACUGA
RNAcentral lists this long non-coding RNA (1149 nucleotides) under Coturnix japonica (Japanese quail). RNAcentral's name for it is "lncRNA (ENSCJPG00005003959.1)". Lineage: Eukaryota; Metazoa; Chordata; Aves; Galliformes; Phasianidae. The record is from RNAcentral.